This is a long non-coding RNA of Globicephala melas (long-finned pilot whale), 7322 nucleotides long. RefSeq lists it as uncharacterized. The record is from RefSeq and is a predicted model, not a curated record. NCBI's taxonomy places the organism in Eukaryota, Metazoa, Chordata, Mammalia, Artiodactyla, Delphinidae.
GUGGGCUGGGGCAACUGAAGCUUCCACAAAGGCAAGAGGACGGCUGGCCGAUGAAGGGAGAUUGCAGGAGGGACCCUCGUGGGGCCUCAAAGCCCGGCCCAUUGCCAAGAAACUCCCUCAGGGGAGGAGGAGACGGAGGCAGAAAAGAAAACAAACAGCCGGAGUUCUGUGCCAGGGGAGUGUCGCAGCUUUUAAUUCAAGAUGAAAUGUGUUCCUGUUUGUGUACAACUCAUUUUCCUCCCAAAUGAAGGGUUUUGUCUAUCACUCGACUGUUUCAAUAGCAACUGAGUCUCCCUCACUGUAAUUAAGCUAGCAUGUGCCUCUCUAGUUGGGGAAGCAGGCUGUCUGUGUUAACGUGUUGGGGAAGCGGGCAGGCUUGAGUUGCUGCCCGGGUCCAAGAAGGAAAAAGCAACAAAGAAUGGAAGAGAACACCUCCAAAUAGAGACUUGGCUCCCGCUGGGAUGACGUCUUUUGGAAACUAUCACGAGCUCCCGAAGCCUGGGUCUUUAUCUGUUCUCUGCUGCAUCUCCAGGGACCUCAGCUGUGACUGGCACAUAGCUGGUCCUCCUGAUAUAUGUGCAGAAGGAAUGAGUGAAGGCUCAGAGAUCUGCCUGUAGAGCAGGAGAUUGAGAACCCUUAAACAUCCCCGGUUCUAGACCGGAUGAUCUGACUCUGUCAUUUCGCAGACCUUCCUCCCGUUGCUUCCGCGGCUGGUUCUGAGGCUGCUGCCAUCUGUGGCCAAGUCUGCUUUGUCAACAGCAGCAGCGCUGCAGAGGGGCUCGGACCCGCUGAUAGAAGCUCCUGUUCCAGCGGGUGCCUGGCUGAUGCCCUGUGAUGAUGUCACAGCCACAGAUCCUGAUGGCAGCCGUGAUGGUAACGGUCCCAGCUACCCCAGCCGUCUCGCUUGAUGGGGCGACCAAGGGCCCACAGAUUGCUCCUGAGUGCGCCUCUCUAGUGACAGAUGAUUCUGAAACCAGCCCGUCUGGUUUGAUCCGGAGAAGAAAACAACAAAUAUAUGUAUUUUUCUUUUUUCCUUUUGGCGGAGAAGUUGCAGUCAUCUAGAAAUCAUUUCAAGGUCAUCCAAAUGCCUGAGGCCCCGCGGACACGGACUCCUGAGCAUCGUCUCCAUCCUUGAAGGACAAGGUUCCAUCUCUGCAUCUCCAGCACCAGCGCAGGGCCUGGCACGAGGCAGAGCUCAAAGCAGGGAGUGUCUGUUGACUGCCCAGGCGAGGUCAGACAGGAGCCGGCCCACUGGCCUGUAGGACGUCCCACAGAAUGGCUAAUAAAGACCUCAUGUCAUUACAUGUGGUCUUUGCGGGGAAAGAAACACACUGUGGUGUCAUGAGAGGAGCUUCGGGGGAACUGACCUGGUCCCUGGGCCAGGAUGCGGGGAUAAUGACAGACACAGAAGAAUCCCUCAAGGAGGUGACAUUUCAUCUGAGACAUGACAGUACUCCCACCAUGUGUGUCAUCUGCACCUCUGUGUGGAGUAGGAAGGUCUCAAGCUCAAGGUCCCUGGCGGGUAAACAACAAUCAAAACAAUUUCAAGUUCACGGACAUCCUCUGCAAUCAACAUCAACUGCUCCAUCAGGAAAACAGGACCUCGUAUUGUUGAUGUUUAUGAAGUGUCCGCUGCGUGUCUGACCUGUUCUGAGCACUGGGAACAAAGCCGUGAACAAGACGGAAAGAUCCCUCCCUACAGGAUCCGUACGUCCUAACACAGCGGGACGAACGCCGACGUCAACUGGUACCUGGUCUGAUUACCAAGCAGCCAAGGAGGCCUCGGGGUGUCUUGGAGGCUGGAACCAGCAGCCCGGGGUGAGCUACGAGCGCUUUACAUGAGCUGCUCCCAGGUGAGAGGUCGGGGUCAGGCCCCCCCAGCCCCCCGCCGGCUCCACCCAGGUGAGCCCUGAGCUGCUCCCAGGUGAGCCCUGUGUGUGUGGAGAGGCGGAUCUGGAGGAUCCCACGCUCAGGCCGGUAAGCUCCGGGAGGGCAGGGAUCGGGUCUCUUCUCGGAUUCAUGGCGCAUGGUGCCUGGCUCCUCUGACCACUGGGAGGGGACAGGCGAGGCCAGAGGCUGGAGACGGCGGUGGCCGUGAAGGUAGGAACCCCAAGGGCUCGGGGAGGAGGUGGAGGUGCCGCUGGGGUGAGGCUGGGGCAGGUGUGGGGGGCGGCGGGCUAGGGGCGGCCCCAUGUCGUUACCUUCUCCCCUGCAUCUUUGGGUUAGAAAUACCUCGUUGGGUGCAGAAGGCGUUGAUUAGGAAGGACUUUCCCCUCCCUACAAUGAAGGCUCCUGUGACCAUCUUGCUUUACAAAAAGUAUUUCACAGAUGGACGUGUGAAUGAAUAAAUGAACGAAUGAAUGAGAAUCAGCUGGUCUGAUUCUCAGUAGAUGUAGAAGCAAAUUAUGGCCACUUGACGCAGGAGGAUAUUCAAGGGAACUGGCUCUUUCCUGAGGACAAGGGCGGGCUAUUUCCUGUCCGGGCCUCAGUUUCCCUGUGGGUAAAAUGAAAGGGUAUCUAAGUAAUCUUAAAGGACAUCUCAGGAGAUAAGCACGAGAGACUAGGCUGUGUGUCUUGCAACGUCCUAAAGGGAACGUGGGGAAAAUCCUAUUACUCAGCGGUGGGAGGGGCACCCACUGGGACUCUCACCUGGAGCAGGUGGGCCUUGGAAUCCUUCCUCAUUGGUUUCUUCCCUCACCUUGGCCUCCCGGCCCCUGCCUGACUCUCCAACCCCACCUUUCUACCAAGUAGGUUAGAGCCUCAGUGAGCAUGACAGGGACCUCAAAUUACAGUGGCUUCAAUAAGACAGUUUAUUUCUUUUUUGCAUGAAAUCCAAGCCCGUAGGGUGAUUCUUCUCUGUAGUUUUCAGGGUCUCAGGCUCCUUCCACCUUGCUGCUCUGUCACCCUUGGGGUGUGGCUUCUCCCACAAGGUGGAUCACAUCCCAGUGUCUGGCCAGCAGGGAGGGGCAGAGGGGACAGAUGGGCACAAGCCUUCCCUUUAAGGGUGGGGCCCAGCAGCUGAGCACACAGUUCUCUUUCCCACUGGCCACAGCCCAGUCGCAUGACCACCCCUGACUGCAAAGGGGGCUGAGAAGUGCAGUCUUCAUUCUGCCCGGCUGUGUGCCCAGAAAACAGGCUGUUACUGGGAGGGGACAGUGGAUGCUGGGAGACAGUAUCCCAGUUGGCUCACACUGCUCCGGCCUGCGGUGACCAACUGUCCUGCUUUGCUGAGGCAUUUCUCUGGACACAGAACUUGCAGUGCUAGACCUGGGAUAGUCAUAGGAGGAAUUGUCCACGCUGGCUUCUUUUCUUAUCCCCAAACGGGCCCAGCACGUUCCUGCCUCAGGGCCUUUGCAUGUGCUGUUACCUCUGUCUGGAACACACUUUCCACAACUCUUUCCAUUCAGAAAGGAUUACUGGGUGCCCACCUCAUGUAUGAGCCGCUGUUCUAAACACUACAUGCCAGGCGCAGAGUGAAAAUUCCAACCAUGCUUUUAACAUAACAAGGAUAAUUCUUUCUACUCCUCCCUGGUCACUUUUGUUUCCAAAUCUCCGUGGCUUAGUAAUUUUUAUUACCUGCAGCUCAGAAAGGAACACCUCCUUCCCUAAGGCUCUGGCUGGGCUCUCACACAGUCUGAUAAAUCUUAUGUUAAUAAUAACCCGAAAGAAGAACAUGUAUUAACUUCUAAGAUUAUGAUCUAGGAAACAAGGAUUUUGAAGAGAUGUGUAAGCCUAAUCAAAGGCAAUGUGGGGUGGAGAAAGUUUUAUUAAAUAGAACCACACCUCUUGGGUGGGCUCAUUGGUACAGUCUUUCCGGAGGGCAGUUUGGCACUAUAUGUAGCAACUGCAACUGCAAAUGCACAACUUCGGGCCCCAAAGUCCAUUUAUAGGAAUUUAUCCCAAUGAAAUAAUGAGAAAAAUAUGCAAAGGUGGGUCUCUAAGGACUUCUGCAAGAGGAAAAAGUAUAAAAGCCUAAAUGUCUGAGGCUGGGAAGCACGGAUUGCUCUCCUCUGCCCUGACACCAACAGGCGCUUCAGAUGAGGAACGGAGGCAGAGAGAGUUUAAGCAACUUACCCAAGGUCACACAGCAGGCAGUGGCAGAGCUGGAUUUGAACCAGGGAGGUGACUCCAGAGCCCAUACUGUUCCCCAGUCGGCUCUGCCACCUCCUGGGCCGCAAAAGGGAAUGAGAACGUCUUCCCGGGAAUAAUAUCGAGAUUUCUCUGGGAGGUGAGAGGAUGACGCAAAGUCUGAAGUGUGGGACCUGGACCCAGGCUGUGGGACCCAGAACACCCAGAGCAGGCGGGAGGCCUGUGGUGGCCGAGAGUGCUGGCUGUCCCCAGGUGGCCAGGGUGGAACAGCUCCGCUAGCCCCUUCCCGGGGUGAGGGCUGUGUUAUUGGCUCCCCCCUAAUCCUCCAAGCCUGCAGCCCAGCCCCAGGCCUCCAAACCCAAGACCACCCAGUUGAGACUGGAAGGAAACCUUCCCUUGUAAGUGGAAUCAGGUGAAAUCUGGCUGUAAAUUAGUCUCAGAAACCAAAAGGCUGUGUGACAAGCAUGGCCAGUGUGGCUGUCACCGUCACCUGCAUGGAAAUGACGGAGAUGAGAGGGACAGCGUCUGUCCAGAGGGGAGCUAGAGGAGGGAAUGUCGUGGACGAUGGAAGGAGGACAGGCCUGCCCCCAGCAGACAUGUCGUCUGCAGAGAACUGGCCCGGGACGGGGAGAUGCCCCCGCGGUGGGCAGCAUGUGGUUUGAGGCCGGAACGUCGGACGCACAGGAGCGAUUGGUGGUCUCCUGGGAGCUGGGGGGGGGCAUCUUGGCCAGGUGGUGGGCUCCUCAGAGGCUCAGCCCCUUUGUGUGUGGGGGUGAUGGCCCUCUGCCCUGUCCUUCUGAAGGUGGCCAUAAGGGAGGGAAGCCAAAGAGCUCAGCGUUGGACAGGCUGGGAAGCGAAUCCCACUUCCCACCAGGCCAGUGACUCUGAGCCUCAGUUUCUCCAGCUGUUGAGUGGGGCUAAUAUCAACCUAUAUGGACUGCCUGCUGGUGCGAGGCCCUAGUUAAGCAUCUUUAAUUCCUAGGGGCAGCCUCAUUUACAGCUGAGAAAACAGAGGCACAGAGAGGUUAAGUCACUUACCUGGGGUCACACAGAUGCUAUCUGUGGUUAGGACUCCAGACUAGCGGGGAUCAAAUGGAGCCCUCGGCACCGUGCUGGUGGCCUGGCAGGUGCUCGGGAACGUCAGGUGCUGUUUGCGAUCCUAUCAGUGCUGCUGCCACCAAGAGUGCCAGGAGUGAGACCACCAUAUCUGCCUCUGAGGGCCGUCGCGAGCAGGAAGCGAGGUGACGCACGUAGGACCCAGGGCACUGGCUGCGGCCAAGUCAGCUGCCGGCGACCCCGUGGCAGCAGCAGGAGCAGCUCUGGGUGAGGGUGUUGCGGCGGCUCCUGCCUGUCCUCCGGGCCGAGGGCUUGCCUGCCAGCUCCUCGGAGCCUGGUCCCCAGUGCGGGUCCGGGGGGUGGUCUGGGGUUCUUGGGAAGGGGCGGGCGGGCCCAGCUCAGGCCUCCCUCGGGGGCCUGUCCGCCACAGCCAUGCUGGGGGGCUGCUCCUGGUGGGCUCGGGAGGAUGCCGGGCUGAGCGGCCACAGGCCAAGUUCCUGCCGUCCGGCCUGUGCCCCCAACCCCAGCCCCCCGGACUUGCAGGCUGCUGGGCAAACACUGGAGGGGGUGACUUCUCAGGCUCUAGUGGGCACGGCCCUCCUCCUGCCCCCAUCCCCAGCCUCACUGUGGGACAAAGGGCAUCUGGUCCAACACACCCACCACCGGAUGUUUCCUGGUACAGAGUGUAUCAAAUUGCAGGUUGUGAUGCAUGAGUGGGUCUUGAAAUCCAUUUAGAGGGCGGAGCCCUGCGCUUAAACUCUGCAAUAGACCAGAAUAGAAUAGAUGAGGAAAUAUCAGAGCGCGUGGUGUGCACUGAAGGGGUGUCUGGGGAAACUUCUGCCUGGUUUUCACAGAAAUAGGCGUGUGUGUAACACCGUGUGACGUGUGUUUCUUACUGCGGUUGCGUUAAAAAAUGGUUGACAGACUGUCUCAUGGCCUUCGUGGCACACAAAGUGUGACACUUGUGUGAGUAAGUGUGACACUUAGUCACGCCGGGGCCCAGCAGGUCUGCGCUCUGUUGAUUUCGGGGAGGAGACUGUAAGGCCGGGAGCAUGAAGGUGGGAGAGAACGGGUCUCCCAGGGCUGGUGCAGCGAUGAUUCCCGGGCCGCCCCCGCUCCUUCCCGCCCUGGCUAAGCCGCUCUGCCCCGUUGUCACUUCUCUGCAGCCCGUGUCCCCGCGUUCUGCUCUUCCCAGCGCCCAUCAGGUCAGAUGUUACCACGGUGACUUCCGGCUCUUGUUUCUCUUCUGUGAGCCUCCCUGGAGCGCCGGCUCCCCCAGCACGGGAGCCCGUUUCCCGAUGCACCCCAGCUCGAGCCCAGCGUGGUGCACAGUAGGGACUCACCUGUUGGGAGGAUGUCUGGGGUGGGGGGAGGUCUGCCGCGCAGGGGUGAGCCCCAGAGAGCAGCACGACAGGAGGAGGGGCUCCUCUUUCCGAAAGUCCCCGAGUCCCCUGGACCCGCCCACCACGUGCCCCCUGCCUGGCUUCCUGCAGCCGCCCCUGCGUCGCCCCUGAGGGUCCCAGCUGCCAGGCUGGGCUGUGUGGGAGCCCCAGAGACCGGAGGGGCUGGAAAUGAACGCCCCGGGGGGCCCAGGCCUGAUGGAGUUGGGGCCGCGCCCGGCUCUCUUGGCUGCGGUGCCUGUUUGUGCUGCGCGCUCCCCAGCGGGACGGGCCUCUGGUUUCUCACGGACGUAACUUGCUGGAGGUGGGCACACGCCCCUUCCCAAGAACCUCAGGCCCAUCUUCUGACUGCGCUCUGGGGCUGGACUCCACGGGCUGCAGACACCCCUCGGCUGGUUGCCAGAGGAACAGGCAGAAUGCUCAUCGCCUCCUUCCCGUCUGGUCUCCCUGCCCCACACGCCCGAGCGGUAAUGUUUGUGAUCAGCCCCCAGAGGAAAGCCUUGGACUUGAAGCCUUGCCUCGGGGUCGGCUUCUGGAGAAACCAAAACAGAGACAGAGGAUGGAGGGCUUUCUUGUGGUCUGUGUUUACGUUCUGUGCAUGUGAUGCGUGUAUGUACGUAUGUAAGUAUUUUCCCUGAGUUGGGGUGGAUUUGCAAGACCAAAAAAUGGGUACAAACCGGUGUCGAGGGUUUGCUAUGGCAGGCGGCAAGGAUGCGGUUCCCCUCCCAUCAUCAUAACGGGGCGGGGGAGGGGAUUGCAGGACAAAGAAGGCCGCGG